RNAcentral lists this RNase P RNA (344 nucleotides) under Clostridiales bacterium. RNAcentral's name for it is "RNase P RNA component class A". It matches the Rfam family "Bacterial RNase P class A". Rfam says of the family: Ribonuclease P (RNase P) is a ubiquitous endoribonuclease, found in archaea, bacteria and eukarya as well as chloroplasts and mitochondria. The record is from RNAcentral. Lineage: Bacteria; Bacillati; Bacillota; Clostridia; Eubacteriales.
UCAGUCAGCCAGAUGGUCGCUGUAUGUCUGUUAUGGGCAUAGAGAGGAAAGUCCGAGCUCCAAAAGAACAGGGUGCCAGUUAACGGCUGGUGGAGGCGACUCUAAGGAAAGUGCAACAGAAAUAGACUUCCAAAUUUUUGGUAAAGGUGGAAAGGUAGGGCAAGAGCCUACCGGACGGUUGGUAACAAUCGUUGCUCUGUAAACCCCACUCGGUGCAAGGUUAAGUUUGAACAUUAGUGUGUUCUUUCACGUUCAACAAAAAUACCGCUAGAACUUGUUGGCGACAGCAAGUCUGGAUAGAUGACCAUUUAAUACAAAACUCGGCUUAUAGACUGGCUGACAAA